AUUGAACGCUGGCGGAAUGCUUUACACAUGCAAGUCGAACGGCAGCACGGACUUCGGUCUGGUGGCGAGUGGCGGACGGGUGAGUAAUGUAUCGGAACGUGCCCAGUCGUGGGGGAUAACGUAGUGAAAAUUACGCUAAUACCGCAUACGAUCUAUGGAUGAAAGCGGGGGAUCGCAAGACCUCGCGCGAUUGGAGCGGCCGAUAUCAGAUUAGGUAGUUGGUGGGGUAAAGGCCCACCAAGCCAACGAUCUGGAGCUGGUCUGAGAGGACGAACAGCCACACUGGAACUGAGCCACGGUCCAGACUCCUACGGGAGGCAGCAGUGGGGAAUUUUGGACAAUGGGCGAAAGCCUGAUCCAGCCAUUCCGCGUGCAGGAUGAAGGCCCUCGGGUUGUAAACUGCUUUUGUACAGAACGAAAAGGUUUCUACUAAUACUAGGAGCUCAUGACGGUACUGUAAGAAUAAGCACCGGCUAACUACGUGCCAGCCGCCGCCGUAA
Molecule: ribosomal RNA, 500 nt
Filed under: uncultured bacterium
Lineage: Bacteria
Description: partial 16S ribosomal RNA
Rfam family: Bacterial small subunit ribosomal RNA
Source: RNAcentral